UUUGAGUAAUGGCCACUUGGAAACAUGCAGCACCGAAUAGAAACUCCUCAAUUGGGGCAGAUAUUCAAAUUUCAUAAGUGUUACCUUAGAGAACACAAACUCCUCAAUUGGUUUCGUUUCUACUCUUUCCUUGGCAACAAUUUCCUCCAAUAUUCCACAAUUCUUCACCCACAGAGUGCUUAGCUGCUUCACCUUUGGCCAUUGAGGCUGGAAAGAUAUUUUUCAAACUCUCACACGAAU
This 240-nucleotide long non-coding RNA is filed under the name Prunus dulcis (almond). RNAcentral's name for it is "sRNA ncRNA". The record is from RNAcentral. Lineage: Eukaryota; Viridiplantae; Streptophyta; Magnoliopsida; Rosales; Rosaceae.